This 253-nucleotide ribosomal RNA is filed under the name uncultured bacterium. RNAcentral describes it as "partial 16S ribosomal RNA". It matches the Rfam family "Bacterial small subunit ribosomal RNA", at positions 524 to 776 of the family's 1533-position model. The record is from RNAcentral.
UACGGAGGGUGCGAGCGUUGUCCGGAAUCACUGGGCGUAAAGGGCGCGUAGGCGGCGCGAGCAGUCGAUCGUGAAAGUCCGGAGCUCAACUCCGGAUCGGCGGUCGAUACUCUCGUGCUUGAGCACUGUAGAGGCAGAUGGAAUUCCGGGUGUAGCGGUGGAAUGCGUAGAGAUCCGGAAGAACACCGGUGGCGAAGGCAGCCUCCUGGGCCAGCACUGACGCUCAUGCACGAAAGCGUGGGGAGCAAACAGG